RNAcentral lists this ribosomal RNA (776 nucleotides) under uncultured Neocallimastigales. RNAcentral's name for it is "partial large subunit ribosomal RNA". It matches the Rfam family "Eukaryotic large subunit ribosomal RNA", at positions 22 to 640 of the family's 3401-position model. Lineage: Eukaryota; Fungi; Neocallimastigomycota; Neocallimastigomycetes; Neocallimastigales. The record is from RNAcentral.
CUAUACAUGACUCUGCGCAUAUCAAUAAGCGGAGGAAAAGAAACUAACAAGGAUUCCCCUAGUAACGGCGAGUGAAGCGGGAAGAGCUCAAAUUUGAAAUCUUAAAGGGUUUCCCUUUACGAAUUGUAGUUUAAAGAAGUGUUUUCUGUUGAGGUUUUGGUAAAAGUUCUUUGGAAUAGGACAUCAUAGAGGGUGAGAAUCCCGUAUUUGACCUUUACUUUCAACUCUUGUGAUACACUUUCAAAGAGUCGGAUUGUUUGGGAAUGCAGUCCAAAAUGGGUGGUAAAUUUCAUCUAAAGCUAAAUAUUGGCGAGAGACCGAUAGCGAACAAGUACCGUGAGGGAAAGAUGAAAAGAACUUUGAAAAGAGAGUUAAACAGUACGUGAAAUUGUCAAAAGGGAAGCGUUUGACACCAGUGUUGUUUUCUCUGAAAAUCAAUUAAAGAACUGUUUAUGCUAAGUUGUUUAGACUUUAUCAGCUAUCUGUUUAGUUUUGAGCUUUUCUUUAAUGCACUUUUCAGUUAACAAGUCAACAUCAAUUUCUUUUGCUGUAAAAAAGCUUGAGGAAGGUGGCUUGAGAUUCGUCUUAAGUGUUUAUAGCCUCUUGCCUAUGCAGUCGGAGAGAUUGAGGUCUGCAGCGUAGAUCCUUCGGGGCUAAAUGCAUUUGUGCUAAGUUAUAGCAUUUUAUAGACAACUUGUUGACUAUGAUCUGUCUUGUAGCUUACUCGCUUAUGUUAUUUUACCUACGCUUAGGAUGUUGACAGCAGUAUAGACUGU